ACAGGGAUUGCCCUAGUAACGGCGAGUGAAGCGGCAACAGCUCAAAUUUGAAAUCUGGCUCUCGGGCCCGAGUUGUAAUUUGUAGAGGAUGCUUUUGAUGCGGUGCCUUCCGAGUUCCCUGGAACGGGACGCCAUAGAGGGUGAGAGCCCCGUCUGGUUGGAUGCCAAAUCUCUGUAAAGCUCCUUCGACGAGUCGAGUAGUUUGGGAAUGCUGCUCUAAAUGGGAGGUAUAUGUCUUCUAAAGCUAAAUACCGGCCAGAGACCGAUAGCGCACAAGUAGAGUGAUCGAAAGAUGAAAAGCACUUUGAAAAGAGAGUUAAAAAGUACGUGAAAUUGUUGAAAGGGAAGCGUUUAUGACCAGACUUGGGCUUGGUUAAUCAUCUGGGGUUCUCCCCAGUGCACUUUUCCAGUCCAGGCCAGCAUCAGUUUUCGCCGGGGGAUAAAGGCUUCGGGAAUGUGGCUCCCUCCGGGGAGUGUUAUAGCCCGUUGCGUAAUACCCUGGCGGGGACUGAGGUUCGCGCAUCUGCAAGGAUGCUGGCGUAAUGGUCAUCAACGACCCGUCUUGAAACACGGACCAAGGAGUCGUCUUCGUAUGCGAGUGUUCGGGUGUCAAACCCCUACGCGUAAUGAAAGUGAACGCAGGUGAGAGCUUCGGCGCAUCAUCGACCGAUCCUGAUGUUCUCGGAUGGAUUUGAGUAAGAGCAUACGGGGCCGGACCCGAAAGAAGGUGAACUAUGCCUGUGUAGGGUGAAGCCAGAGGAAACUCUGGUGGAGGCUCGCAGCGGUU
This 787-nucleotide ribosomal RNA is filed under the name Fusarium croceum. RNAcentral describes it as "partial large subunit ribosomal RNA". It matches the Rfam family "Eukaryotic large subunit ribosomal RNA", at positions 68 to 885 of the family's 3401-position model. The record is from RNAcentral. Lineage: Eukaryota; Fungi; Ascomycota; Sordariomycetes; Hypocreales; Nectriaceae.